Molecule: ribosomal RNA, 549 nt
Filed under: uncultured bacterium
Lineage: Bacteria
Description: bacterial SSU rRNA
Rfam family: Bacterial small subunit ribosomal RNA
Source: RNAcentral
AGGGAAUCUUCGGCAAUGGACGGAAGUCUGACCGAGCAACGCCGCGUGAGUGAAGAAGGUUUUCGGAUCGUAAAGCUCUGUUGUAAGAGAAGAACGAGUGUGAGAGUGGAAAGUUCACACUGUGACGGUAUCUUACCAGAAAGGGACGGCUAACUACGUGCCAGCAGCCGCGGUAAUACGUAGGUCCCGAGCGUUAUCCGGAUUUAUUGGGCGUAAAGCGAGCGCAGGCGGUUAGAUAAGUCUGAAGUUAAAGGCUGUGGCUUAACCAUAGUACGCUUUGGAAACUGUUUAACUUGAGUGCAGAAGGGGAGAGUGGAAUUCCAUGUGUAGCGGUGAAAUGCGUAGAUAUAUGGAGGAACACCGGUGGCGAAAGCGGCUCUCUGGUCUGUAACUGACGCUGAGGCUCGAAAGCGUGGGGAGCAAACAGGAUUAGAUACCCUGGUAGUCCACGCCGUAAACGAUGAGUGCUAGGUGUUGGGUCCUUUCCGGGACUCAGUGCCGCAGCUAACGCAUUAAGCACUCCGCCUGGGGAGUACGACCGCAAGGUUG